AGAGUUUGAUCCUGGCUCAGGAACGAACGCUGGCGGCAGGCUUAACACAUGCAAGUCGAGCGCCCCGCGGAGGGGAGCGGCAGACGGGUGAGUAGGCGCGUGGGGAUGUACCCAAAGGUGCGGAAUAACUCAGGGGAAACUUGGAGCUAAUACCGCAUGUGCCCGGAGGAGGGGAAAGAUUUAUCGCCUUUGGGAUCAACCCGCGUCAGGAUUGAGCUAGUUGGUAGGGUAAUGGCCUACCAAGGCGGACGGAUCUGUAGGCUGGGUCUGAGGAGGAUGGAUCAGCCCACACUGGGGACUGAGGACACGGGCCCAGGACUCCUACGGGGAGGCAGCAGUGGGGGAAUAUUGGACAAUGGGCGCAAGCCUGAUCCAGCCAUGCCGCGUGAGUGAUGACGGCCUUAGGGUUGUAGAGCUCUUUGAACAGGGGACGAUAAU
Molecule: ribosomal RNA, 438 nt
Filed under: uncultured bacterium
Lineage: Bacteria
Description: bacterial SSU rRNA
Rfam family: Bacterial small subunit ribosomal RNA
Source: RNAcentral